This 394-nucleotide ribosomal RNA is filed under the name uncultured bacterium. RNAcentral describes it as "bacterial SSU rRNA". It matches the Rfam family "Bacterial small subunit ribosomal RNA", at positions 775 to 1180 of the family's 1533-position model. The record is from RNAcentral.
GGAUUAGAUACCCGGGUAGUCCACGCUGUAAACGAUGCCAACUAGGUCUUGGGGAGUAUCGACCCUCCUUUGGACCGAAGCUAACGCGUUAAGUUGGCCGCCUGGGGAGUACGAGCGCAAGCUUAAAACUCAAAGGAAUUGACGGGGACCUGCACAAGCGGUGGAGCGCGUGGUUUAAUUCGUCACAAAGCGUAGAACCUUACCAAGGCUUGACAUCCCGAGAAAGCUCUAGAAACAGAGCCGUGCCGCAAGGAACUCGGUGACAGGUGCUGCACGGUCGUCGUCAGCUCGUGCUGUGAAGUGUCCCGUUCAGUCGGUUAACGAGCGCAACCCUUACCCUGUGUUAUACAUGUCACAGGGAACUGCCCCAGUUAAUGGGGAGGAAGGUGAGGAU